GACGAACGCUGGCGGCGUGCUUAACACAUGCAAGUCGAACGGAAAGGCCCUGCUUUUGUGGGGUGCUCGAGUGGCGAAGGGGUGAGUAACACGUGAGUAACCUGCCCUUGUCUUUGGGAUAACUUCAGGAAACUGGGGCUCUUACCGGAUAGGAGCUCCUGCUGCAUGGUGGGGGAUGGAAAGUUUCGGCGGUGGGGGAUGGACUCGCGGCAUAUCAGCUUGUUGGUGGGGUAGUGGAUUACCAAGGCUUUGACGGGUAGCCGGCCUGGGAGGGUGACCGGCCACAUUGGGACUGAGAUACGGCCCAGACUCCUACGUGAGGCAGCAGUGGGGAAUAUUGCACAAUGGGCGGAAGCCUGAUGCAGCAACGCCGCGUGCGGGAUGACGGCCUUCGGGUUGUAAACCGCUGUCGCCUGUGACGAAGCGUGAGUGACGGUAAUGGGUAAAGAAGCACCGGCUAACUACGUG
This 468-nucleotide ribosomal RNA is filed under the name uncultured bacterium. RNAcentral describes it as "partial 16S ribosomal RNA". It matches the Rfam family "Bacterial small subunit ribosomal RNA", at positions 28 to 507 of the family's 1533-position model. The record is from RNAcentral.